Molecule: ribosomal RNA, 328 nt
Filed under: Pseudomonas aeruginosa
Lineage: Bacteria; Pseudomonadati; Pseudomonadota; Gammaproteobacteria; Pseudomonadales; Pseudomonadaceae
Description: bacterial SSU rRNA
Rfam family: Bacterial small subunit ribosomal RNA
Source: RNAcentral
AUUAAUGAGUUUUGAUCUUGGCUCAGAUUGAACGCUGGCGGCAGGCCUAACACAUGCAAGUCGAGCGGAUGAAGGGAGCUUGCUCCUGGAUUCAGCGGCGGACGGGUGAGUAAUGCCUAGGAAUCUGCCUGGUAGUGGGGGAUAACGUCCGGAAACGGGCGCUAAUACCGCAUACGUCCUGAGGGAGAAAGUGGGGGAUCUUCGGACCUCACGCUAUCAGAUGAGCCUAGGUCGGAUUAGCUAGUUGGUGGGGUAAAGGCCUACCAAGGCGACGAUCCGUAACUGGUCUGAGAGGAUGAUCAGUUCACACUGAACGAAAACUUAUUUG